RNAcentral lists this transfer RNA (65 nucleotides) under Mycterothrips gongshanensis. RNAcentral's name for it is "tRNA-Ala". The record is from RNAcentral. Lineage: Eukaryota; Metazoa; Arthropoda; Insecta; Thysanoptera; Thripidae.
AGAGUAGUAAUUUAAUAAAAAUAUUUAUUUUGCAUAUAAAAAUUAUAAUUUACAUUAUCUACUUU